Apis mellifera (honey bee) is the source of this 1423-nucleotide long non-coding RNA. RefSeq lists it as uncharacterized. The transcript has 3 exons. NCBI's taxonomy places the organism in Eukaryota, Metazoa, Arthropoda, Insecta, Hymenoptera, Apidae. The record is from RefSeq and is a predicted model, not a curated record.
UAUACACGUGUUUUAUCGUAUAUAUAUCGUAGAAUUUGUAUAUUCUCGAUUCAUGAGAAUGCUUGUCGAGAAUGUUAAAAAGAAGUCGUCUUUUCGAACGAUCUUUUAUUGACAAUUGAAAUUGAAGAGAUAAGAUUUGCCUGCGCGAAGGGAGGGGAAAUUCGGCCUGUCCACACCCUUGGAACGCAGUGGCGGAUUGGAAGAGAGAGGCUCGCAGCUGGGCGAAACGUGGCCGAAAAAAAAAACGGGCACGAUUUUUCGGAAAACGAAGGCUCGCAGCAAGAGCAGAAAGACAGAAAAGGAGCCGGCACGACCGGCCGGCUUACACACACUGACUUCUGACUGGUCGAGCUAGGAUCGACGGAUGCGGUCCUGAUGCGUGCCACCGUUCCAUCCACACGCGUCCAUUAUUUCUUUCGUGUGUAUUUCUCCUCGCGUGUCUCGUGCCAACCUUCCGUAUCGGUUAAUUUUUCCUUUCCUUUGUCGUCGUCGAAGGGGAAGAGAUGGGAAGGGGGAGGGGAGAAGGGGAAAAGCAGCAGGGAAUUUUUCACGCGUGGCGCCACGACUUUCCGUAGAAAGUAGGAAGGAGAGGCUACGUUGGUAGUGAAGUGUUGUCGCGUUCGAUGCUAGCUUUUUCUUUUCUUCUUUUUUUUUUUUCUUUUUUCGUUUGUUUCGUCCGUUCGAUCCGUUUUUGCUCGUUGAGUAAAAGAGAAUCGUCGUUCGGGAUUAAUACGGUAGAAUAUUUUUCUUUCUUUCGUGGUGAAUGUUCGAGUGAUUUGCAAACGUAUUCCGUUCGUUAUAGGUUAUGUUCUUUUACGUGAUUAGUUUUAGCUUGCUUCGGAUCAAGUCGCGUCAAGAAUCGAAUUUCUCUGUUGAAUUUUAACUUUGCAUCAUGAUGUAUUGAUAAAUAAAUUUUUUGAUUGAUAUUAAUUUUAUGCUGAAUGAAUAUUUAUAAAGCAUGUUUAUUGUUGAGAGAAUUAUUAUGUAUAGUGUUUUUGAUGUUGAAUUAGUUUUAGUUGUUUUAUUAUAGAUUGAAUAAGAAUUGAUAUUUGUUGAAUUUUUACAUUAUUGUUAAAAAAAUUUUAAAAGUAAUAUUAAUUGUAAUAUCGUUGAAUCAGUGCCUCGAAUUUUUUGUUUUUAUUAUUAGAAGAUUUUGAAUAAUGAAGAGUUGUUCAAUUUUAAUUUUCUUUCUUUAUUUUUACUUUUAACUUAAAAAAAACUAAAUUAAAUGUACACAUCAAUGUCUAAAGAGAUUAAAAUGAUUGUAAUGUGAAAAAAUUGUUAUAUUCUGUCGAUGAAAAAUUAUUACAAUAUUAUGUGACGAUACGAUACUUUGAAUGUUCGCCGCAUUAUUAUAAUUUGCAUGGAAAUUGUUUUCCACGAUGAUACGCUAUUAAACAUUAUAAUAAACUAAUAAAAUGAA